This 304-nucleotide ribosomal RNA is filed under the name uncultured temperate forest soil bacterium C6013. RNAcentral's name for it is "bacterial SSU rRNA". It matches the Rfam family "Bacterial small subunit ribosomal RNA", at positions 353 to 674 of the family's 1533-position model. Lineage: Bacteria; Pseudomonadati; Acidobacteriota. The record is from RNAcentral.
AGUGGGGAAUCUUGCCCAAUGAAGGAAACUCUAAUGCAGCGACGCCGCGUGACCGAUGAAGCCCUUCGGGGUGUAAAGCUCUUUCGACGGGACCGAUAAUGCCGGUACCCAAAGAAGAAGCUGCGGCUAACUACGUGCCAGCAGCCGCGGUAAUACGUAGGCAGCAAGCGUUGUUCGGAAUUACUGGGCGUAAAGAGUGUGUAGGUGGUGCUCUAAGUUUGGUGUGAAAUCUCCCGGCUUAACUGGGAGGGUGCAUCGAAAACUGGAGUGCUUGAGUAUGGGAGAGGUAAGCGGAAUUCCUGGU